This 90-nucleotide non-coding RNA is filed under the name chicken gut metagenome. RNAcentral describes it as "THF riboswitch". It matches the Rfam family "THF (Tetrahydrofolate) riboswitch aptamer". From Rfam's summary of the family: THF riboswitch presents a pseudoknot that joins P1-P2 and the loop of P3 and two THF binding. The record is from RNAcentral.
AGUAGGAUCUUGCGCGUCAAGUGCCGUUGAGACGGGGGGUGCUCGCGGACGAAAAGCCUGACGGCUUGCGGUGCAUGAUCCACUCCCGCU